GGAAUAUUGGUCAAUGGGCGAGAGCCUGAACCAGCCAAGUAGCGUGCAGGAAGACUGCCCUAUGGGUUGUAAACUGCUUUUAUGCGGGGAUAAAGUGCGCCACGUGUGGCGUUUUGUAGGUACCGCAUGAAUAAGGACCGGCUAAUUCCGUGCCAGCAGCCGCGGUAAUACGUAGGUGGCAAGCGUUAUCCGGAUUUAUUGGGCGUAAAGCGAGCGCAGGCGGUUUUUUAAGUCUGAUGUGAAAGCCUUCGGCUUAACCGAAGAAGUGCAUCGGAAACUGGGAAACUUGAGUGCAGAAGAGGACAGUGGAACUCCAUGUGUAGCGGUGAAAUGCGGAGAUAUAUGGAAGAACACCAGUGGCGAAGGCGGCUGUCGGGUCUGUAACUGACGCUGAGGCUCGAAAGCAUGGGUAGCGAACA
Molecule: ribosomal RNA, 419 nt
Filed under: uncultured bacterium
Lineage: Bacteria
Description: bacterial SSU rRNA
Rfam family: Bacterial small subunit ribosomal RNA
Source: RNAcentral